This 254-nucleotide ribosomal RNA is filed under the name uncultured bacterium. RNAcentral's name for it is "partial 16S ribosomal RNA". It matches the Rfam family "Bacterial small subunit ribosomal RNA", at positions 524 to 776 of the family's 1533-position model. The record is from RNAcentral.
UACGUAGGGGCCUAGCGUUGUCCGGAUUUAUUGGGCGUAAAGAGCUCGUAGGCGGCUUGGUUAGUCAGGUGUGAAAUCUCCACGCUCAACGUGGAGGGGCCACCUGAUACUGCCAUGGCUUGAGUCCGGUAGGGGAGUGUGGAAUUCCCGGUGUAGCGGUGAAAUGCGCAGAUAUCGUAAGGAAGACCAGUGGCGAAGGCGAAUCUCUGGACAGUUACUGACACUGAGGCACGAAGGCCAGGGGAGCAAACGGG